Long non-coding RNA from Camelus dromedarius (Arabian camel), 297 nucleotides. RefSeq lists it as uncharacterized. The transcript has 2 exons. NCBI's taxonomy places the organism in Eukaryota, Metazoa, Chordata, Mammalia, Artiodactyla, Camelidae. The record is from RefSeq and is a predicted model, not a curated record.
UGCGCACCGGGACACCGAAAGGCCCCGGCAGCUUUAAGAGGCGGGGCUAGCUGCUGCCCUAUUCCCUGGGCCCGCCCACAGCCGCCUUACGCGCCCGAUACGUCACCUCCCCAUCCCGAGGCCCCGCCAGCCUACGCGAUGACGCAAGCACGCAGAGCCGGGGACGCCCCGCCCUCUUGGCCGGCGCCCGGCGAGUUCCCGCAGAGUGGAGAGAGUGCUGUCCCUGGCCUGACCGCCUGAUACUCUCACAGACGCAAAGGAAUAUUGUUACUCCCUCAAUAAACGACUUUUCCCUAA